This 305-nucleotide ribosomal RNA is filed under the name uncultured bacterium. RNAcentral's name for it is "bacterial SSU rRNA". It matches the Rfam family "Bacterial small subunit ribosomal RNA", at positions 333 to 653 of the family's 1533-position model. The record is from RNAcentral.
GAUAUCCUACGGGACGCAGCAGUGGGGAAUAUUGGGCAAUGGACGCAAGUCUGACCCAGCAACGCCGCGUGAAGGAAGAAGGCUUUCGGGUUGUAAACUUCUUUUAAGGGGGAAGAGCAGAAGACGGUACCCCUUGAAUAAGCCGCGGCUAACUACGUGCCAGCAGCCGCGGUAAUACGUAGGUGGCAAGCGUUGUCCGGAUUUACUGGGUGUAAAGGGCGUGCAGCCGGGGAGACAAGUCAGAUGUGAAAUCCACGGGCUCAACCCGUGAACUGCAUUUGAAACUGUUUCCCUUGAGUGUCGGG